UACUGCUUACUGCUAGUGUGUACAAGAAAAGCCUAGGACACAGACUACCGAAAGCGUCACCAGUUGCAAUUGCAAAGUGAGAAAAGACCGCAUGCUAACGGAGAAGCGAAGAAGUGCAGCGGUUUGCGAGGGCCUAGGGAACAAACUUUUUGUGACGUCACAAUUUUCAAAAAGAAAACGACAGCACAAAGCAAAAGUACAGGGCAAUGGCCACCGAGAAGAGCACCAGUUGCUUUUCAAAAGUAUAUAGAGAAGGUCAUGUGCUAAAGGAGGAGCGGAAAGGAAAAAAGCUAUAGGCUGAAAUUCGAUUAGCUGCCUAUAGUAUCGCAAGACCUUCUCUAGAGAAGACGUACAAAAAGGAUUCUAGGAGCUAAACUUUGAUUCAAAAAGCCUGUGGUCAAAUUCUACUGUAGAGUUGGUAUUAUGCAAGACAUUCGGCAGCGCAUAAAACACCAUAAAUGUAACACAGCACGUUCAUGACGGCCUCGUCAUCCUAGGAAUUCCAGAUCCGUAUGUCGCACCACGUUACCAACGCAGUACUCAUCACAACAUCCACCUCUUGAUCAUGAACAGGCAGUUGGUGAUGAAGGUUUGGGAAACCUGCAGCUGUCGCCAAUUGCAAGCUCGGAACUACGUAUUUGUCGUGCACGUGACAAUUGUAAUUCAUUAUCACAAUAUUUAAAUUCAAUUUGUGGUAACAGGUGAAAUAGAUUUCCAAGCUGCAGGGCUAGCGACAGCUGCGGGUAGCGUACCCACUUUCAAGCAACAGGUGCAUGCUUUUGAACAAUCAUGACAAUGGGCUGCCCCAUGGCGCUGGGACUUCCAGUUAAACGACAGGUUCUUUUUUGAUUGAAAUAAUUCAAAAUUAACGAUGGGAAGACGAUUCUACCUGGAAUCAGAAGAAGGCAACUGCCAUCAAGGGCACUAAAUGUCAGGAAAAAUUAUAUGGAAUCAAGAAAACUGUCGAAUAUUUAACUUGUGAUUUUGUAAUUUGUAUUAUAGCAUUUUGUAAUUAACAUUAUUAUUUUGAUAAUAAAGGAAAUUUUUGCA
Long non-coding RNA from Corticium candelabrum, 1050 nucleotides. RefSeq lists it as uncharacterized. The transcript is spliced from 6 exons. NCBI's taxonomy places the organism in Eukaryota, Metazoa, Porifera, Homoscleromorpha, Homosclerophorida, Plakinidae. The record is from RefSeq and is a predicted model, not a curated record.